Molecule: long non-coding RNA, 235 nt
Filed under: Elaeis guineensis (African oil palm)
Lineage: Eukaryota; Viridiplantae; Streptophyta; Magnoliopsida; Arecales; Arecaceae
Description: long non-coding RNA (EGUI_LNC066863)
Source: RNAcentral
CUGUAUGUGUCAGUCCUUCCACCUCAUGAAAGUUUAAUUUUACAGGCAUUAGCUCCUUCACCAAGAAACUUUUUUUUCAAAAAGACUGUCCGGCUGCUGACAAACACCUUUUGUUCUGCAACGAGAUAGAAGUAAUACCUUUUAGUUUUUUUUGGGUACACUACGAACAAGCAUCUAUCAAACUUCGGUCCAAGCUUAUCUAUCUUUAAAUGCUUAACAUAAGCUGCACACCCCC